RNAcentral lists this long non-coding RNA (712 nucleotides) under Homo sapiens (human). Its description in RNAcentral is "HSALNT0306725". The record is from RNAcentral. Lineage: Eukaryota; Metazoa; Chordata; Mammalia; Primates; Hominidae.
GGCUGACCCUAGUGUUGCUCAUGCAGCCCUGCAUGCCAUGGCAUGCCAUAUGUCUGCUGUUUCUACAGAUCUGGCUUAAAAAAAUCUAAGCAAAGAUGGUACUUCAUGGACCCAAGAUAUUACCUUAUUCUGCAAACAAGGACUUUAAGCACAAAGAAGGAAAUCAUAGUAGAAGUUUCAACUGUCAACUUCUGCUUAGGAUAUCCUUAAUAAAACCUUCAUGUCGAGAUUUGUGAAACAACUGACGAAAUCACUGGCCUGAAGUUGCAAACAAAGUAUUAAUCAAGGCAGCCCCACUGUGGCUUAAUAAUAUCAAUGACAGACACUUCUUGGCAAUCAAGGAUCCUCUGAUGAUCAUCUAAUCAAACAGCACUGAUUCUAUCACACUAUGGCUUUGGUUGAGCUUAACAGAGAAGAGGAUUCAUCCAUAACCAAACAGGUUCAACAGAACCUUGAAAAUCAAAGGAAAGUGCAAAAGAAAGUGGUUCUAACUUUGAAUUGUGGCAUCAAGGAACAGUAAAUAAAAUAAAUUGAAUAACAACUUCUGCAGAGCUGAGAAGUCUCAAAGUUUCCUUCAUCUAAGAAUAUGUUAAAAUGACAUUGAUGGGGUCCAGCAUAUUGGAGCCUGAAAUCUGACUUCUUCACGUGAAGGUGUGGGUAUUAAUUUGGUUAAUUUCUAAUGAUCAUCCAUAAUAACUUACAAAAGAGUUUG